This 269-nucleotide ribosomal RNA is filed under the name uncultured bacterium. Its description in RNAcentral is "partial 16S ribosomal RNA". It matches the Rfam family "Bacterial small subunit ribosomal RNA", at positions 335 to 600 of the family's 1533-position model. The record is from RNAcentral.
GUACCUACGGGGGGCAGCAGUGACGAAUAUUGGUCAAUGGGCGGAAGCCUGAACCAGCCAAGUCGCGUGAGGGAAGAAGGCCCUGCGGGUCGCAGACCUCUUUGGACGGGGAGCAAGGCCGCCGACGUGUCGGCGGAAGGAGAGUACCCGAAGAAAAAGCAUCGGCUAACUCCGUGCCAGCAGCCGCGGUAAUACGGAGGAUGCGAGCGUUAUCCGGAUUUAUUGGGUUUAAAGGGCGCGUAGGCGGACUGGAAAGUGAGCGGUAAAAU